AUACUUACCUGGCAGGGGAGAUACCAUGAUCAAGAAGGUGGUUCACCCAGGGUGAGGCUCAGCCAUUGCACACCGGUUGUGCUGACCUCUGCGAAUUCCCCAAAUGUGGGAAUCUCGACUGCAUAAUUUCUGGUAGUGGGGUACUGCGUUCGCGCUCUCCCCUG
Molecule: small nuclear RNA, 164 nt
Organism: Syngnathus acus (greater pipefish)
Lineage: Eukaryota; Metazoa; Chordata; Actinopteri; Syngnathiformes; Syngnathidae
Product: U1 spliceosomal RNA
Exons: 1
Source: RefSeq, a predicted model, not a curated record